Molecule: ribosomal RNA, 222 nt
Filed under: uncultured Pasteurellales bacterium
Lineage: Bacteria; Pseudomonadati; Pseudomonadota; Gammaproteobacteria; Pasteurellales
Description: partial 16S ribosomal RNA
Rfam family: Bacterial small subunit ribosomal RNA
Source: RNAcentral
AGUAAUGCUUGGGAAUCUAGCUUAUGGAGGGGGAUAACUACGGGAAACUGUAGCUAAUACCGCGUAGUAUCGAGAGAUGAAAGUGUGGGACCUUCGGGCCACAUGCCAUAGGAUGAGCCCAAGUGGGAUUAGGUAGUUGGCGAGGUAAAGGCUCACCAAGCCGACGAUCUCUAGCUGGUCUGAGAGGAUGACCAGCCACACUGGGACUGAGACACGGCCCAG